This 126-nucleotide non-coding RNA is filed under the name human gut metagenome. RNAcentral describes it as "FMN riboswitch (RFN element)". It matches the Rfam family "FMN riboswitch aptamer (RFN element)". From Rfam's summary of the family: The RFN element is a highly conserved domain that is found frequently in the 5'-untranslated regions of prokaryotic mRNAs that encode for flavin mononucleotide (FMN) biosynthesis and transport proteins. This element is a metabolite-dependent riboswitch that directly binds FMN in the absence of proteins. The record is from RNAcentral.
UGUCUUCGGGGCGGGGUGCGAUUCCCCACCGGCGGUGAUCCCCUUGGGGAAGCCCGCGAGCAGGCGUGCGCCUGUUGAUUUGGUGAAAAUCCAAAGCCGACGGUAUAGUCCGGAUGAAAGAAGAUG